This 1370-nucleotide ribosomal RNA is filed under the name uncultured bacterium. RNAcentral's name for it is "bacterial SSU rRNA". It matches the Rfam family "Bacterial small subunit ribosomal RNA", at positions 28 to 1381 of the family's 1533-position model. The record is from RNAcentral.
GAUGAACGCUGGCGGCGUGCCUAAUACAUGCAAGUCGAGCGAACGGACGAGAAGCUUGCUUCUCUGAUGUUAGCGGCGGACGGGUGAGUAACACGUGGAUAACCUACCUAUAAGACUGGGAUAACUUCGGGAAACCGGAGCUAAUACCGGAUAAUAUUUUGAACCGCAUGGUUCAAAAGUGAAAGACGGUCUUGCUGUCACUUAUAGAUGGAUCCGCGCUGCAUUAGCUAGUUGGUAAGGUAACGGCUUACCAAGGCAACGAUGCAUAGCCGACCUGAGAGGGUGAUCGGCCACACUGGAACUGAGACACGGUCCAGACUCCUACGGGAGGCAGCAGUAGGGAAUCUUCCGCAAUGGGCGAAAGCCUGACGGAGCAACGCCGCGUGAGUGAUGAAGGUCUUCGGAUCGUAAAACUCUGUUAUUAGGGAAGAACAUAUGUGUAAGUAACUGUGCACAUCUUGACGGUACCUAAUCAGAAAGCCACGGCUAACUACGUGCCAGCAGCCGCGGUAAUACGUAGGUGGCAAGCGUUAUCCGGAAUUAUUGGGCGUAAAGCGCGCGUAGCGGUUUUUUAGUCUGAUGUGAAAGCCCACGGCUCAACCGUGGAGGGUCAUUGGAAACUGGAAAACUUGAGUGCAGAAGAGGAAAGUGGAAUUCCAUGUGUAGCGGUGAAAUGCGCAGAGAUAUGGAGGAACACCAGUGGCGAAGGCGACUUUCUGGUCUGUAACUGACGCUGAUGUGCGAAAGCGUGGGGAUCAAACAGGAUUAGAUACCCUGGUAGUCCACGCCGUAAACGAUGAGUGCUAAGUGUUAGGGGGUUUCCGCCCCUUAGUGCUGCAGCUAACGCAUUAAGCACUCCGCCUGGGGAGUACGACCGCAAGGUUGAAACUCAAAGGAAUUGACGGGGACCCGCACAAGCGGUGGGGCAUGUGGUUUAAUUCGAAGCAACGCGAAGAACCUUACCAAAUCUUGACAUCCUUUGACAACUCUAGAGAUAGAGCUUUCCCCUUCGGGGGACAAAGUGACAGGUGGUGCAUGGUUGUCGUCAGCUCGUGUCGUGAGAUGUUGGGUUAAGUCCCGCAACGAGCGCAACCCUUAAGCUUAGUUGCCAUCAUUAAGUUGGGCACUCUAAGUUGACUGCCGGUGACAAACCGGAGGAAGGUGGGGAUGACGUCAAAUCAUCAUGCCCCUUAUGAUUUGGGCUACACACGUGCUACAAUGGACAAUACAAAGGGCAGCGAAACCGUGAGGUCAAGCAAAUCCCAUAAAGUUGUUCUCAGUUCGGAUUGUAGUCUGCAACUCGACUACAUGAAGCUGGAAUCGCUAGUAAUCGUAGAUCAGCAUGCUACGGUGAAUACGUUCCCGGGUCU